RNAcentral lists this unclassified non-coding RNA (226 nucleotides) under uncultured fungus. RNAcentral describes it as "sequence contains ITS1, 5.8S rRNA gene". The stretch from base 178 to 226 matches the Rfam family "5.8S ribosomal RNA", at positions 1 to 49 of the family's 154-position model. Lineage: Eukaryota; Fungi. The record is from RNAcentral.
UCUCCGUAGGUGAACCUGCGGAGGGAUCAUUACCGAGUGAGGGCUCACGCCCGACCUCCAACCCUGUGUGAACACAUCUUGUUGCUUCGGGGGCGACCCUGCCGUCCGCGGCUGAGCGCCCCCGGGGUCAAUCAAACACUGCAUUCUCUGCGUCGGAGUAUUAGUAAAUCUAAUCAAAACUUUCAACAACGGAUCUCUUGGUUCUGGCAUCGAUGAAGAACGCAGC